AGAACAGAAAUACAUCAGUUGUGGUCAUGGGCAGCUGUGCUCGUGGUAUGUCAUAGACACCAACUUCACAUCAUGUCCAGCUGCCUCUCGGAGCUCGGCUGCCCACAGAAGCUCUGGCGCAAUGGUGGGUCAUUGAGUUACAUUUUCCAGUGUGGAGUGAUAAUUGCAAGAUUUACUGAGCAGAGAAAUAUGACCCAUCAAAUUCAGUCUAAAAAUAAUUUUUGCUCUGAAAAAGAAAAUCGAAUUACCUUGCUCUUCACUAUGAAAAAUUGGCUUCAUCUGGGUCAAGAGACAUGGAACCUUUCUUUGAAGUAGACCCUACAUUCCAAAAUAUCACUGGCAAACUCUGGGGCCUGCUUCUGAUUAAAUAAUUGACAUAAACCUCCGCCGAAUAAACACUGAACCCUUCAAAAACAGAGAAGUAAAUGAAAAAUAAAAAUGCAUCUAUGCUUUAAGUAGAAGAUCUUCUGCAAUAAUUUGUUACCAGAAAGCAAUUUACUUUUCCUUUUGUAAACCAGCAUUAAAACCUAAGAAGAAAGCACACUGGGUGAAACUCUAGUUGAAACUUCGAAAUAGUCUUAAAUCUAUUCUACAUAUUAUCAGAUUUAAUGUUGACCUUAAGAGAGUGCUUCCAUAUUUAUGGUUUGCUAUCUUAUCCCUCAAAACUAAAUUUAUUACUCAUAGAAUAUGAAGCUUAAAAAGUAAAAUAUUGUAUUUUCCUGAGAAUAUUUUGGUCUUUAAAUUGACAACAGUAUAAAUACAUUGUAAGAAAAAAAAUAGCAACCCAACUGUGUGUAUGUAUACCUUGCCUCUUUCUUCAAGGAAUGCUAUCUGUGCAUAUAAAACUCAAAAACAGUUAACCAAGAAAUAAAGAAAAAGAGUAAACUCUUUUGGGUUUAUUACAGAUGAGGUUAUAACAAAAUGGGCUGACGGCAAGUGUGACAAAAAGUAUUGUUUGAAAAUUCUAAAUCUUGUUGCCACAAAACUGUGACUUUUUAGAAAUAUAUGGGGAAAUUUUAUUGUAAUAGAAUGGAAUUGAAUUUAUUGAAAUUUUAUUGUAAAUGAAUAAAAUUUUGAAGAGGUCUUCAAUAAUGGAAUGAGUAAGAUAAUUACUACUUCACUUAGCUUUCUAAAAACUUUGCACCAAUGGAUUUCUGCCUUCCCAGAUGAUUUUUUUCUCGUUUAGCUUUUGUAUACUUUGAAAAAUAGAACAAUGACUUUGUUCUGUCCUUCAUAGGUUGGGAUUUAUAAAAAUGAUUUUGUGUGCCUCUGCAAAAUGUGGAGAAGUACUGAAUAAACAACAAACAAUCAGGUGUUCUUCAGUUAAAGGGACAGUUUUUAGAGGAACCCCGUGGUUGUAAUGAAUUAUUUCUUGUUUUAAAAAGACCUUCUUACCUGAAUAACGUUGUGAAUCACACGAAUGUCAAUUUCUUGGGUUUUGGUAUUGCACUGUAGUUAUGCAAGAUGUUACUACUGGGGAAAACUGGGUACCUGGGACCUUUCUAUACUAUUUUGUAACUUCCUGUUAAUCUUUUACUUUAUUUCAAAAUAAAAAUGUUUAAAAAUGAAAAAAAUUAAAAUAAAUGUCAGUGGUCAAAAAGAGCAAAUAAAGAAAAAAGUCCUUUCUAACCAGC
Molecule: long non-coding RNA, 1634 nt
Filed under: Homo sapiens (human)
Lineage: Eukaryota; Metazoa; Chordata; Mammalia; Primates; Hominidae
Description: non-protein coding lnc-C7orf49-1:1
Source: RNAcentral